Molecule: ribosomal RNA, 1372 nt
Filed under: uncultured bacterium
Lineage: Bacteria
Description: bacterial SSU rRNA
Rfam family: Bacterial small subunit ribosomal RNA
Source: RNAcentral
GAUGAACGCUGGCGGCGUGCCUAAUACAUGCAAGUCGAGCGAACGGACGAGAAGCUUGCUUCUCUGAUGUUAGCGGCGGACGGGUGAGUAACACGUGGAUAACCUACCUAUAAGACUGGGAUAACUUCGGGAAACCGGAGCUAAUACCGGAUAAUAUUUUGAACCGCAUGGUUCAAAAGUGAAAGACGGUCUUGCUGUCACUUAUAGAUGGAUCCGCGCUGCAUUAGCUAGUUGGUAAGGUAACGGCUUACCAAGGCAACGAUGCAUAGCCGACCUGAGAGGGUGAUCGGCCACACUGGAACUGAGACACGGUCCAGACUCCUACGGGAGGCAGCAGUAGGGAAUCUUCCGCAAUGGGCGAAAGCCUGACGGAGCAACGCCGCGUGAGUGAUGAAGGUCUUCGGAUCGUAAAACUCUGUUAUUAGGGAAGAACAUAUGUGUAAGUAACUGUGCACAUCUUGACGGUACCUAAUCAGAAAGCCACGGCUAACUACGUGCCAGCAGCCGCGGUAAUACGUAGGUGGCAAGCGUUAUCCGGAAUUAUUGGGCGUAAAGCGCGCGUAGGCGGUUUUUUAAGUCUGAUGUGAAAGCCCACGGCUCAACCGUGGAGGGUCAUUGGAAACUGGAAAACUUGAGUGCAGAAGAGGAAAGUGGAAUUCCAUGUGUAGCGGUGAAAUGCGCAGAGAUAUGGAGGAACACCAGUGGCGAAGGCGACUUUCUGGUCUGUAACUGACGCUGAUGUGCGAAAGCGUGGGGAUCAAACAGGAUUAGAUACCCUGGUAGUCCACGCCGUAAACGAUGAGUGCUAAGUGUUAGGGGGUUUCCGCCCCUUAGUGCUGCAGCUAACGCAUUAAGCACUCCGCCUGGGGGGUACGACCGCAAGGUUGAAACUCAAAGGAAUUGACGGGGACCCGCACAAGCGGUGGAGCAUGUGGUUUAAUUCGAAGCAACGCGAAGAACCUUACCAAAUCUUGACAUCCUUUGACAACUCUAGAGAUAGAGCCUUCCCCUUCGGGGGACAAAGUGACAGGUGGUGCAUGGUUGUCGUCAGCUCGUGUCGUGAGAUGUUGGGUUAAGUCCCGCAACGAGCGCAACCCUUAAGCUUAGUUGCCAUCAUUAAGUUGGGCACUCUAAGUUGACUGCCGGUGACAAACCGGAGGAAGGUGGGGAUGACGUCAAAUCAUCAUGCCCCUUAUGAUUUGGGCUACACACGUGCUACAAUGGACAAUACAAAGGGCAGCGAAACCGCGAGGUCGAGCAAAUCCCAUAAAGUUGUUCUCAGUUCGGAUUGUAGUCUGCAACUCGACUACAUGAAGCUGGAAUCGCUAGUAAUCGUAGAUCAGCAUGCUACGGUGAAUACGUUCCCGGGUCU